GGCUCUGUAGUGUAGUGGUUAUCACUCAAGAUUCUGACGGCCGCUACCCGGUUUCCAACCGGGAUUUCAUUGGCUUACGUAACCAUUCUUGGAACCCCGGUUCGAAUCCGGGCAGGGCCU
This 120-nucleotide transfer RNA is filed under the name Rhizoctonia solani AG-8 WAC10335. It matches the Rfam family "tRNA". From Rfam's summary of the family: Transfer RNA (tRNA) molecules are approximately 80 nucleotides in length. Their secondary structure includes four short double-helical elements and three loops (D, anti-codon, and T loops). Further hydrogen bonds mediate the characteristic L-shaped molecular structure. tRNAs have two regions of fundamental functional importance: the anti-codon, which is responsible for specific mRNA codon recognition, and the 3' end, to which the tRNAs corresponding amino acid is attached (by aminoacyl-tRNA synthetases). tRNAs cope with the degeneracy of the genetic code in two manners: having more than one tRNA (with a specific anti-codon) for a particular amino acid; and 'wobble' base-pairing, i.e. permitting non-standard base-pairing at the 3rd anti-codon position. The record is from Rfam by way of RNAcentral. Lineage: Eukaryota; Fungi; Basidiomycota; Agaricomycetes; Cantharellales; Ceratobasidiaceae.